GGAUGUGGCUCUGGAGAAUCUCCUUGUUUUUAAGGAGUGCCGAAGGUGUAAAAGGUACGAUGAGCGUUACCUUAAUCUCUCAGGCAAAAGGACAGAGUGCUUUUU
Molecule: regulatory RNA element, 105 nt
Organism: Eubacteriaceae bacterium CHKCI005
Lineage: Bacteria; Bacillati; Bacillota; Clostridia; Eubacteriales; Eubacteriaceae
Rfam family: Glycine riboswitch aptamer
About the family: This family represents the bacterial glycine riboswitch.
Source: Rfam